This 468-nucleotide ribosomal RNA is filed under the name uncultured bacterium. RNAcentral describes it as "partial 16S ribosomal RNA". It matches the Rfam family "Bacterial small subunit ribosomal RNA", at positions 28 to 507 of the family's 1533-position model. The record is from RNAcentral.
GACGAACGCUGGCGGCGUGCUUAACACAUGCAAGUCGAACGGAAAGGCCCUGCUUUUGUGGGGUGCUCGAGUGGCGAACGGGUGAGUAACACGUGAGUAACCUGCCCUUGACUUUGGGAUAACUUCAGGAAACUGGGGCUAAUACCGGAUAGGAGCUCCUGCUGCAUGGUGGGGGUUGGAAAGUUUCGGCGGUUGGGGAUGGACUCGCGGCUUAUCAGCUUGUUGGUGGGGUAGUGGCUUACCAAGGCUUUGACGGGUAGCCGGCCUGAGAGGGUGACCGGCGACAAUGGGACUGAGAUACGGCCCAGACUCCUACGGGAGGCAGCAGUGGGGAAUAUUGCACAAUGGGCGGAAGCGUGAUGCAGCAACGCCGCGUGCGGGAUGACGGCCUUCGGGUUGUAACCCGCUUUCGCCUGUGACGAAGCGUGAGUGACGGUAAUGGGUAAAGAAGCACCGGCUAACUACGUG